This 2902-nucleotide ribosomal RNA is filed under the name Escherichia coli UMEA 3355-1. Its description in RNAcentral is "bacterial LSU rRNA". It matches the Rfam family "Bacterial large subunit ribosomal RNA". The record is from RNAcentral. Lineage: Bacteria; Pseudomonadati; Pseudomonadota; Gammaproteobacteria; Enterobacterales; Enterobacteriaceae.
UUAAGCGACUAAGCGUACACGGUGGAUGCCCUGGCAGUCAGAGGCGAUGAAGGACGUGCUAAUCUGCGAUAAGCGUCGGUAAGGUGAUAUGAACCGUUAUAACCGGCGAUUUCCGAAUGGGGAAACCCAGUGUGAUUCGUCACACUAUCAUUAACUGAAUCCAUAGGUUAAUGAGGCGAACCGGGGGAACUGAAACAUCUAAGUACCCCGAGGAAAAGAAAUCAACCGAGAUUCCCCCAGUAGCGGCGAGCGAACGGGGAGGAGCCCAGAGCCUGAAUCAGUGUGUGUGUUAGUGGAAGCGUCUGGAAAGGCGCGCGAUACAGGGUGACAGCCCCGUACACAAAAAUGCACAUAUUGUGAGCUCGAUGAGUAGGGCGGGACACGUGGUAUCCUGUCUGAAUAUGGGGGGACCAUCCUCCAAGGCUAAAUACUCCUGACUGACCGAUAGUGAACCAGUACCGUGAGGGAAAGGCGAAAAGAACCCCGGCGAGGGGAGUGAAAAAGAACCUGAAACCGUGUACGUACAAGCAGUGGGAGCACGCUUAGGCGUGUGACUGCGUACCUUUUGUAUAAUGGGUCAGCGACUUAUAUUCUGUAGCAAGGUUAACCGAAUAGGGGAGCCGAAGGGAAACCGAGUCUUAACUGGGCGUUAAGUUGCAGGGUAUAGACCCGAAACCCGGUGAUCUAGCCAUGGGCAGGUUGAAGGUUGGGUAACACUAACUGGAGGACCGAACCGACUAAUGUUGAAAAAUUAGCGGAUGACUUGUGGCUGGGGGUGAAAGGCCAAUCAAACCGGGAGAUAGCUGGUUCUCCCCGAAAGCUAUUUAGGUAGCGCCUCGUGAAUUCAUCUCCGGGGGUAGAGCACUGUUUCGGCAAGGGGGUCAUCCCGACUUACCAACCCGAUGCAAACUGCGAAUACCGGAGAAUGUUAUCACGGGAGACACACGGCGGGUGCUAACGUCCGUCGUGAAGAGGGAAACAACCCAGACCGCCAGCUAAGGUCCCAAAGUCAUGGUUAAGUGGGAAACGAUGUGGGAAGGCCCAGACAGCCAGGAUGUUGGCUUAGAAGCAGCCAUCAUUUAAAGAAAGCGUAAUAGCUCACUGGUCGAGUCGGCCUGCGCGGAAGAUGUAACGGGGCUAAACCAUGCACCGAAGCUGCGGCAGCGACGCUUAUGCGUUGUUGGGUAGGGGAGCGUUCUGUAAGCCUGUGAAGGUGUGCUGUGAGGCAUGCUGGAGGUAUCAGAAGUGCGAAUGCUGACAUAAGUAACGAUAAAGCGGGUGAAAAGCCCGCUCGCCGGAAGACCAAGGGUUCCUGUCCAACGUUAAUCGGGGCAGGGUGAGUCGACCCCUAAGGCGAGGCCGAAAGGCGUAGUCGAUGGGAAACAGGUUAAUAUUCCUGUACUUGGUGUUACUGCGAAGGGGGGACGGAGAAGGCUAUGUUGGCCGGGCGACGGUUGUCCCGGUUUAAGCGUGUAGGCUGGUUUUCCAGGCAAAUCCGGAAAAUCAAGGCUGAGGCGUGAUGACGAGGCACUACGGUGCUGAAGCAACAAAUGCCCUGCUUCCAGGAAAAGCCUCUAAGCAUCAGGUAACAUCAAAUCGUACCCCAAACCGACACAGGUGGUCAGGUAGAGAAUACCAAGGCGCUUGAGAGAACUCGGGUGAAGGAACUAGGCAAAAUGGUGCCGUAACUUCGGGAGAAGGCACGCUGAUAUGUAGGUGAAGCGACUUGCUCGUGGAGCUGAAAUCAGUCGAAGAUACCAGCUGGCUGCAACUGUUUAUUAAAAACACAGCACUGUGCAAACACGAAAGUGGACGUAUACGGUGUGACGCCUGCCCGGUGCCGGAAGGUUAAUUGAUGGGGUCAGCGCAAGCGAAGCUCUUGAUCGAAGCCCCGGUAAACGGCGGCCGUAACUAUAACGGUCCUAAGGUAGCGAAAUUCCUUGUCGGGUAAGUUCCGACCUGCACGAAUGGCGUAAUGAUGGCCAGGCUGUCUCCACCCGAGACUCAGUGAAAUUGAACUCGCUGUGAAGAUGCAGUGUACCCGCGGCAAGACGGAAAGACCCCGUGAACCUUUACUAUAGCUUGACACUGAACAUUGAGCCUUGAUGUGUAGGAUAGGUGGGAGGCUUAGAAGUGUGGACGCCAGUCUGCAUGGAGCCGACCUUGAAAUACCACCCUUUAAUGUUUGAUGUUCUAACGUUGACCCGUAAUCCGGGUUGCGGACAGUGUCUGGUGGGUAGUUUGACUGGGGCGGUCUCCUCCUAAAGAGUAACGGAGGAGCACGAAGGUUGGCUAAUCCUGGUCGGACAUCAGGAGGUUAGUGCAAUGGCAUAAGCCAGCUUGACUGCGAGCGUGACGGCGCGAGCAGGUGCGAAAGCAGGUCAUAGUGAUCCGGUGGUUCUGAAUGGAAGGGCCAUCGCUCAACGGAUAAAAGGUACUCCGGGGAUAACAGGCUGAUACCGCCCAAGAGUUCAUAUCGACGGCGGUGUUUGGCACCUCGAUGUCGGCUCAUCACAUCCUGGGGCUGAAGUAGGUCCCAAGGGUAUGGCUGUUCGCCAUUUAAAGUGGUACGCGAGCUGGGUUUAGAACGUCGUGAGACAGUUCGGUCCCUAUCUGCCGUGGGCGCUGGAGAACUGAGGGGGGCUGCUCCUAGUACGAGAGGACCGGAGUGGACGCAUCACUGGUGUUCGGGUUGUCAUGCCAAUGGCACUGCCCGGUAGCUAAAUGCGGAAGAGAUAAGUGCUGAAAGCAUCUAAGCACGAAACUUGCCCCGAGAUGAGUUCUCCCUGACUCCUUGAGAGUCCUGAAGGAACGUUGAAGACGACGACGUUGAUAGGCCGGGUGUGUAAGCGCAGCGAUGCGUUGAGCUAACCGGUACUAAUGAACCGUGAGGCUUAACCUU